AUGAGGCAUCAUCAGCUCCGCGCCCUCGCCCGCGACACCAGGUCCUGCUUCGCCUCCAGUCCAGUCAUGCUACCCCCGCUCCACGGCGUCGUCUGCGUCGAUCUGAAGCCCACGCAGGGUGGCGACAAGUUGGGGAUGGACAAAAACGGACGAGGAGGUCGAGCAGUCCGUGGUGUUGCCGUAGUCGACCUCAUCCCUCAUGCACGGCGCUGGAGAGACGAUCCAUUCAAGCUCAAGGCUUUCGACAGACUAGUCAGGCCUGUUUGCAGGACAACAUCUAUAACACAGAGAGUCAAUCCAUCGUGCAAGAUUUUGUUCGUCUGCAAAGAGCAGUUAAUCCGUAUCAGGGACACGAAGUUUAUAUUGCAUCAUCUGUGGUUACUGCACCGGUUGCUCCCUAGUCCAGGCGAUGAAAUUAUUCAUCUGUCAUCUCACCAGGAAGAGAUGUUCCACGAGAUGGCCCGGUGGUCCUUUGAGCCAACAAAUUUGGGUCAUGAGCCACAAGAACUCAAGAAAGGCAUCAUACAUUCCUUCUGCAAGACAUUGACAACUUCAGAUACGAGUGUCCGUGGUGGUUUCUCUGUUCUUAGGAGACAUGCUGAAGAGUGUCUUCCUCCGCCGUUUAGGACGAAUCCAACACCCAGCGAGGUUGGGCCGCACAAGCGGGCUUGCGGAGAAAUGAAGAUGGAGGGAGGAUGGCGACAGGCGAGGAUGGCGACGUUCGGGCUGUCCUGA
RNAcentral lists this ribosomal RNA (735 nucleotides) under Triticum aestivum (bread wheat). RNAcentral's name for it is "partial small subunit ribosomal RNA". Lineage: Eukaryota; Viridiplantae; Streptophyta; Magnoliopsida; Poales; Poaceae. The record is from RNAcentral.